GCCUACGGGGGGCAGCAGUGAGGAAUAUUGGUCAAUGGGCGCGAGCCUGAACCAGCCAAGUCGCGUGAGGGAAGACGGUCCUAUGGAUUGUAAACCUCUUUUGUCGGGGAGCAAAAGACGCCACGUGUGGCGUUCCGAGAGUACCCGAAGAAAAAGCAUCGGCUAACUCCGUGCCAGCAGCCGCGGUAAUACGGAGGAUGCGAGCGUUAUCCGGAUUUAUUGGGUUUAAAGGGUGCGUAGGCGGGCUGUUAAGUCAGCGGUCAAAUGUCGGGGCUCAACCCCGGCCUGGCGUUGAAACUGGCGGC
RNAcentral lists this ribosomal RNA (305 nucleotides) under uncultured bacterium. Its description in RNAcentral is "bacterial SSU rRNA". It matches the Rfam family "Bacterial small subunit ribosomal RNA", at positions 337 to 640 of the family's 1533-position model. The record is from RNAcentral.